CAGUAGCCGCGGGAAUACGUAGGGGGCAAGCGUUGUCCGGAAUUAUUGGGCGUAAAGCGCGCGCAGGCGGUUCUUUAAGUCUGGUGUAUAAGUGCGUGGCUCAACCCCGUGAGGCACUGGAAACUGGGGAACUUGAGUGCAGAAGAGGAGAGCGGAAUUCCACGUGUAGCGGUGAAAUGCGUAGAGAUGUGGAGGAACACCAGUGGCGAAGGCGGCUCUCUGGACUGUAACUGACGCUGAGGCGCGAAAGCGUGGGGAGCAAACAGGAUUAGAUACCCCCGUAGUCCCUGUCUCUUAUACA
This 301-nucleotide ribosomal RNA is filed under the name uncultured bacterium. Its description in RNAcentral is "partial 16S ribosomal RNA". It matches the Rfam family "Bacterial small subunit ribosomal RNA", at positions 509 to 808 of the family's 1533-position model. The record is from RNAcentral.